GACGAACGCUGGCGGCGUGCCUAAUUCAUGCAAGUUGAGCGCUGAAGGUUGGUACUUGUACCGACUGGAUGAGCAGCGAACGGGUGAGUAACGCGUGGGGAAUCUGCCUUUGAGCGGGGGACAACAUUUGGAAACGAAUGCUAAUACCGCAUAAAAACUUUAAACACAAGUUUUAAGUUUGAAAGAUGCAAUUGCAUCACUCAAAGAUGAUCCCGCGUUGUAUUAGCUAGUUGGUGAGGUAAAGGCUCACCAAGGCGAUGAUACAUAGCCGACCUGAGAGGGUGAUCGGCCACAUUGGGACUGAGACACGGCCCAAACUCCUACGGGAGGCAGCAGUAGGGAAUCUUCGGCAAUGGACGAAAGUCUGACCGAGCAACGCCGCGUGAGUGAAGAAGGUUUUCGGAUCGUAAAACUCUGUUGGUAGAGAAGAACGUUGGUGAGAGUGGAAAGCUCAUCAAGUGACGGUAACUACCCAGAAAGGGACGGCUAACUACGUG
This 497-nucleotide ribosomal RNA is filed under the name uncultured bacterium. Its description in RNAcentral is "partial 16S ribosomal RNA". It matches the Rfam family "Bacterial small subunit ribosomal RNA", at positions 28 to 507 of the family's 1533-position model. The record is from RNAcentral.